ACGCUGGCGGCGUGCCUAACACAUGCAAGUCGAACGCGAAAGCCCCGCAAGGGGUAAGUAGAGUGGCAAACGGGUGAGUAACACGUGGGUGACCUGCCUUCGAGUGGGGGAUAACGUCCCGAAAGGGACGCUAUUACCGCAUGACAUCCUGCUUUUUAAGAGGCGGAGAUCAAAGCCGGGGAUCGCAAGACCUGGCGUUCGAAGAGGGGCCCGCGCCUGAUUAGCUAGUUGGUGGGGUAACGGCUCACCAAGGCAACGAUCAGUAUCCGGCCUGAGAGGGCGGACGGACACACUGGGACUGAGACACGGCCCAGACUCCUACGGGAGGCAGCAGUGGGGAAUUGUUCGCAAUGGGCGCAAGCCUGACGACGCAACGCCGCGUGGAGGAUGAAGACCUUCGGGUCGUAAACUCCUUUCGAUCGAGACGAAUGGUUUCCGGGUGAACAAUCCGGGAGAAUGACGGUACCGAGAGAAGAAGCCCCGGCUAACUCCGUGCCAGCAGCCGCGGUAAUACGGGGGGGCAAGCGUUGUUCGGAAUUACUGGGCGUAAAGGGCUUGUAGGUGGCCAACUAAGUCAGACGUGAAAUCCCUCAGCUUAACUGGGGAACUGCUUCUGAUACUGGAUGGCUUGAGUUUGGGAGAGGGAUGCGGAAUUCCAGGUGUAGCGGUGAAACGCGUAGAUAUCUGGAGGAACACCGGUGGCGAAGGCGGCAUCCUGGACCAACACUGACACUGAAAAGCGAAAGCCAGGGGAGCAAACGGGAUUAGAUACCCCGGUAGUCCUGGCCCUAAACGAUGAAUGUUUGGUGUGGCGGGUAUCGAUCCCUGCCGUGCCGAAGCUAACGCAUUAAACAUUCCGCCUGGGGAGUACGGUCGCAAGGCUG
RNAcentral lists this ribosomal RNA (884 nucleotides) under uncultured bacterium. RNAcentral describes it as "bacterial SSU rRNA". It matches the Rfam family "Bacterial small subunit ribosomal RNA", at positions 33 to 896 of the family's 1533-position model. The record is from RNAcentral.